This 253-nucleotide ribosomal RNA is filed under the name uncultured bacterium. Its description in RNAcentral is "partial 16S ribosomal RNA". It matches the Rfam family "Bacterial small subunit ribosomal RNA", at positions 524 to 776 of the family's 1533-position model. The record is from RNAcentral.
UACAGAGGGGGCAAGCGUUGUUCGGAAUUACUGGGCGUAAAGGGCGCGUAGGCGGCCAACUAAGUCGGACGUGAAAUCCCCGGGCUCAACCCGGGAACUGCGUCCGAUACUGGAUGGCUUGAAUCCGGGAGAGGGAUGUGGAAUUCCAGGUGUAGCGGUGAAAUGCGUAGAUAUCCGGAGGAACACCGGUGGCGAAGGCGGCUUCCUGGACCGAUACUGACGCUGAGGCGCGAAAGCUAGGGGAGCAAACGGG